CUCUCUAUCUUUCUUUCGGUUCUGCCUUUCUCUCUCUUUUUUAUUCUCUCUGCAUAACACAUUGUACAUUCUCAUUUUAAAAUGCAAAUGUUUUAAGUUAUGUGUUAGAAAGGAGAAGCUGGCACACUCUUACAGUAUAUUUGCGGAGAUACAGAAGGUGUGGCAGUAGUCCUGACUGAUGUCUUGACGAAAAACUGCAAAGGAAGUUAGUUUAUUAUUUGAUAAAGUGGGAAUUAAAUCUUAGUCAGCUCGAAAUAUCAGGACUGAGACAAUGAGAAUGUCACUCAAAGUAAUUUACUUAAUGACAGCUAGUGUGAGUUUACUGUCUGUGACAGGAAACAAGGGAGGACCUGACAACAUAAACUAAUGGAUUGCCCCUGUGGUCGCUGCGUCAGUGUGUCUGGUAUUGAUACUGAUACUUGUGAUUGUUGUUGUACUGUGCAGACACAACCUCCCCUGGACACAAGCUUGUUCUGCUGCAGGGGGAUCAUUAGAGCGGAGGAUGAACGCUGCUGAACAUACCACAGAGGUGUGUGUGUGUGUGUGUGUGUGUGUGUGU
This is a long non-coding RNA of Etheostoma cragini (Arkansas darter), 559 nucleotides long. RefSeq lists it as uncharacterized. Lineage: Eukaryota; Metazoa; Chordata; Actinopteri; Perciformes; Percidae. The transcript has 4 exons. The record is from RefSeq and is a predicted model, not a curated record.